GGAAACCCUGGUGGAAGCCCGAAGCGAUUCUGACGUGCAAAUCGAUCGUCUGAUUUGGGUAUAGGGGCGAAAGACUAAUCGAACCAUCUAGUAGCUGGUUCCCUCCGAAGUUUCCCUCAGGAUAGCUGGAACCCGUGUGUGCAGUUUUAUCAGGUAAAGCGAAUGAUUAGAGGUCUUGGGGUUGAAACAACCUCAACCUAUUCUCAAACUUUAAAUAGGUAAGACGUCCGACUUGCUUGAGUGAAGCCGGACCUCGAAUGCAGGGUUCCUAGUGGGCCAUUUUUGGUAAGCAGAACUGGCGAUGCGGGAUGAACCGAAAGCGGGGUUAAGGUGCCAAAGUCGACGCUCAUCAGACCCCACAAAAGGUGUUGGUUGAUCCAGACAGCAGGACGGUGGCCAUAAAAGUCGGAACCCGCUAAGGAGUGUGUAACAACUCACCUGCCGAAUCAACCAGCCCUGAAAAUGGAUGGCGCUCAAGCGUCGCACCCACACCCCGCCGUCGGGCCGAGCUGGCUGGCCUGACGUGUAGGAGGGCGCAGCGGUGGUGUUGCAGCCUAAGGCGUGAGCCUGGGUCAAACCGCCGUUGGUGCAGAUCUUGGUGGUAGUAGCAAAUAUUCAAAUGAGAACUUUGAAGACUGAAGUGGAGAAAGGUUCCAUGUGAACAGCAGUUGGACAUGGGUGAGUCGGUCCUAAGGGACGGGUUAACUCCUAGCAAGUGUGCACUCCCGGUCCGCCGGGAAGGCGCCCUCUCCCGAAAGGGAAUCGGGUUAAUAUUCCCGAACCGGAACGCGGAUAGGGCCGGUGAUCCCCGCGGUCGCCGACCACGGCGGUAACGCAAGCGAACUCGGAGACGCUGGCGGGGGCUCUGGGAAGAGUUCUCUUUUCUUCUUGACGGGCCGACCCCCUGGAAUGGGAUUGCCCCGAGAUAGGGUUCUGUGCUCGGCAAAGCAGCUGCACCUCUUGCAGCGUCCGGUGCGCUCCCGACAGCCCUUGAAAAUCCGAGGGAGUG
Molecule: ribosomal RNA, 1009 nt
Filed under: Aplysinella sp. UCMPWC1053
Lineage: Eukaryota; Metazoa; Porifera; Demospongiae; Verongiida; Aplysinellidae
Description: eukaryotic LSU rRNA
Rfam family: Eukaryotic large subunit ribosomal RNA
Source: RNAcentral